RNAcentral lists this long non-coding RNA (737 nucleotides) under Homo sapiens (human). RNAcentral's name for it is "HSALNT0257289". The record is from RNAcentral. Lineage: Eukaryota; Metazoa; Chordata; Mammalia; Primates; Hominidae.
CUUCUGCCUGGUCCUUGCCAAUAGAGGAGUCACAAUCUCAAUGGUGGACUGGAAUCGUGCAUGAGAGCCUCAAUCACUUUUGUGGACUGUGUCUCCUUAGUCACAGCCUUACAGGUAUGCUGAGUCAUGGUCUGAAAGUCACCAGCCCUCCUUUUGACUGGUUCCACAUGUGAAAAGUCCACCCUUUGCCUCCAGUUGUGAGAUUCAGUUCCUCAGCUGUGGGCUGUGUUCAUGUGGAAAGAUGACAAUCUUGACUGUUGGGUGAGUAUGCAUGAGUGUCAUAUUCUCAUCCGUGUUCUCGGUCCUGUUAGGACACUCUCUGUACCACCCGAGGGCUUUAUACAUUAUGUAUGAAAGUCACAAUCUACUCUGACACAUUUGUACUGAUAUGGACCUGUGAUUGUACCCGUGGCCCUAAGCCCAGGUAUGAGUCAACAUCUCUUCAAUUAGGAGAGUCCAGAUUGGAAAGAUUUUACCUGCCUAUAAGCUGGGUUUAUUAAACAGUCACUAACCCAACAGUGGCCAGGUGUUCACAUAUGACAGUCACAAUUUUAACUUUGAACUGUGUCUACUUGUGAGUUUCAGGACUUCAAAAUUGGACCCUGUCCAUGUGUGUGGGUGACUUUAAAGGUUGGCAGGUUGCACACACAAAAAACAAUCUCAUAUUUGUGCUGUGUCCUGUGAUGAGUUUGUACCACUUGACGGCUUUAUACUGUAUGUGAGGGAGUGGUAUAACU